AGGCGCGAAAACAGAGGGACCGAUGUUGAAAAUAUCCCCUCACCGCGAAAACGCGUGGAUCCCAGGGGUUAAGAAUCGGGUCGGAUCGGGCAUAAAGGGGGUGGCCUAGACGAUGUCGUUUUUACUCCUUUAAAAGGACUAAAAUCAGCCAAAUUCGGCCGAUCCUGCUUACCCCCCAUUUCUUCUCAUUCGACGAACCCUAGAUCCCCUCUCAUCAAAUGCCAAGCCGCCAUCAUGUAGAUGACCAACACCCUCAGGCUAUGCGCGACCGCUUUAUGGCCUUGGAGUUCUCCUUAAGUCUCCGAUUUCGGCGAAGCAAAGGAGAACCGAUGCCUAUUUUCAAGGUACAGAGUCUGCUGGCAUGCGUACGGGGGUGCGGGCGUAGCGUACAAGGGCUGUGGCGUGGCUGCUGAAAUGUUGAGGCAUACGGAGGCAUGGAGGCCGGGGCUUGGCUGCGGCGCAAGGUGGACCCUAGGGUUUCUGGUUAUUUCAAUUUUUGGGCCACUUGGGCCGAUACAAUUUUGGAGGUUCGGGCCUUUAAUCAUGCAACUUGGACUGUUAUAAAACUUGGGUUUUAUAUUUAUUUAUUUUGUAUUUAUUUGGGUUUCAAAGAGCGGGGCAAAUUGGCCUAUUUACAACAUUUAUUUAAAACUUAAUAAGUAAGAAAAAACCAAAUUAAAGUUGCAACAAUAA
Long non-coding RNA from Gossypium arboreum, 693 nucleotides. RefSeq lists it as uncharacterized. The transcript has 2 exons. NCBI's taxonomy places the organism in Eukaryota, Viridiplantae, Streptophyta, Magnoliopsida, Malvales, Malvaceae. The record is from RefSeq and is a predicted model, not a curated record.